ACCACGAUGUAUCAGGAGAGGUGGGGAAACGCAGUAGGGCGCCCCCUCUGAAAACUGGGCCAACUUUCGGGUGAUGUGUUUUUGAUAAAUCGUGUUGCGAAAUGGUGAAGUGUUUCGUGGUUGGAUGUUCUACGGGAUACAAAUCAGCAAAAGAAAAUGAUGCUAAGGUAUUUAAACCACCCAAAGAAGAAAAAGGCAAUUCAUUUUAUGGGGAAAGAAUCUUGAAAGAAGUGACAGAAAAUUUUCAAGAAAAGAUCAUGUUUGUUCUAGACAUUUUAAAGAAGAAAUUCAUCAUCAAGAACUCUGUAAAUGGUGGUGCCCCAUUGAGUCGUUGGAAAUUGAGAGAUGAUGCCAUACCAACUCUUGUUCUUGGUUACAAAGAUGGGGUAGCCCCAAACAAAAAGUAUCGGAAAAAAACCACCUCUCCAUUUUCAAAUAAUGGAUGCCAUAAACAACCAGAAGAGAAAAUUGAUGGUCGAACAACAUCUGAUGUGAACAGUGCUGAAGUCACUCUUGCUGGAGAGAAUGGUCUGGAACACACAACCCAAGGAACAAGAGGUGAAAAUUUAAAAAAAAAACUAAAGCUAAACCUGUAUCAAGGAAAAUGCUAAUUUCAGAUCCCGUUUCUGCCUAAGACUGUUAUCUGGUAAAGGUAAUAUGUUUUACUUGUGUGAACAUCUCGAAAAGAUUCACUUGGAGUAUAUGUCAAGGCAAACAGUAAUUGAAAGAAUGUCCGCAAGAAAGAAGAAAACUGAAAUGAAAUCAAAAGUGCUGAAACAAAAAAUUCAACGGAAAGAACUUGUUGUCAAGUUUCUUGGGCUUAACGACCAGGUAUAUAUAUCAUGCUCCCAAUUACUAUUCCCCUCUAUGACGAGUACGUUUGUUAGAUUCCCAAAUGUUAACUAUUUUUCUACCAAUGACCAAUAAUAACGACAACUCUACUUAUUUUUUU
RNAcentral lists this unclassified non-coding RNA (952 nucleotides) under Daphnia pulicaria. RNAcentral describes it as "uncharacterized LOC124343073, transcript variant X2". Lineage: Eukaryota; Metazoa; Arthropoda; Branchiopoda; Diplostraca; Daphniidae. The record is from RNAcentral.